Molecule: ribosomal RNA, 1024 nt
Filed under: Trochamminidae sp. 10089
Lineage: Eukaryota; Foraminifera; Textulariida; Trochamminidae
Description: bacterial SSU rRNA
Rfam family: Eukaryotic small subunit ribosomal RNA
Source: RNAcentral
AAGGGCACCACAAGAACGCGUGGAGCAUGUGGCUUAAUUUGACUCAACGCGGGAAAUCUUACCGGGUCCGGACACACUGAGGAUUGACAGAUAUAUUAAUUAUUAAUAAAUAUAUUUUAUUAAUCUUAGAAAGAUGCUAGUUCUUUCAUGAUUAUGUGAUAGGUGGUGCAUGGCCGUUCUUAGUUCGUGGAGUGAUCUGUCUGCUUAAUUGCGUUUCACUAAAGGUCUUAUAUAUUAUACAGUGUGUUGACACUUUGCAUUGACCCCUACUCAUUGAGUGGUUGCGUGUCUUUGUUAUACUGUCUCAUACUUAUUUAGGCCUUGAAAGCAACGAACGUGACCGCAACCUCUUGUUGCCUUAUACAAUAAAUAAUAUAUAUGUAUCUCUGCAUACAAUAUAUUAUUAAUAAAGGCUAUUUUAUUAUUAAACUAGAGGGACCGCUGUGAUCUUUUUUAAACCAGAGGAAGGUUGCGGCAAUAACAGGUCUGUGAUGCCCUUAGAUGUUCCGGGCUGCACACGUGCUACAAUGAUUAUUGCAGUGAGCAUCUCAUUUAUAUUAACAGCUGUCUUGUACGUGUAUUUUUAUUGUAUUUUUAUAAUAUUAAUAAUUAUUACAUUGUACACAGCUAAGCCUGCUUCGAGAGGUUAGCGGGUAACCAAUUAGAAGUAAUGAUUUCUAUUUAUUAUGCACAAUUAUAUGUGGCAUUUAUAUCCGGGUUAUAACUUUGCUUAUAACUUUUGUGUGUAUAAAUGUAUUUUAUAUCCACAUGUGCAAUUAUUAAUUCAUGGUGGGGACAGACUAUUGUUAAUUGUUAGUCUCGGUCUUAACUAGGAAUGCCUUGUACGGGUCUUUGGUUCAACAAACCACCCGGAAUACGUCCCUGCCCUUUGUACACACCGCCCGUCGCUCUUACCGAUGAACUUCUCUGUGAGUCUAAUGGACUAAUUAUUAUUAUUUAAUAUAAUUAUAAUGGAAAAUUAUACGAACAGGGUGGUUUAAAGGAAAGAGAAGUCGAACAAGGC